This 494-nucleotide ribosomal RNA is filed under the name uncultured bacterium. RNAcentral describes it as "partial 16S ribosomal RNA". It matches the Rfam family "Bacterial small subunit ribosomal RNA", at positions 28 to 507 of the family's 1533-position model. The record is from RNAcentral.
GACGAACGCUGGCGGCGUGCUUAACACAUGCAAGUCGAACGGUGAAGCGCCUUCCUUUUUGGUGGGUGUGGAUGAGUGGCGAACGGGUGAGUAACACGUGAGUAACCUGCCCCCUUCUUCUGGAUAACCGCAUGAAAGUGUGGCUAAUACGGGAUAUUCUGGGUCUGUCGCAUGAUGGGUCUGGGAAAGAUAUUGUUUCGGUGGGGGAUGGGCUCGCGGCCUAUCAGCUUGUUGGUGGGGUGAUGGCCUACCAAGGCGGUGACGGGUAGCCGGCCUGAGAGGGUGGACGGUCGCACUGGGACUGAGACACGGCCCAGACUCCUACGGGAGGCAGCAGUGGGGAAUAUUGCACAAUGGGCGCAAGCCUGAUGCAGCGACGCCGCGUGAGGGAUGGAGGCCUUCGGGUUGUGAACCUCUUUCGCCAGUGAAGCAGGACUGCCUCGUUUGUGGGUGGGUUGACGGUAGCUGGAUAAGAAGCGCCGGCUAACUACGUG